RNAcentral lists this unclassified non-coding RNA (612 nucleotides) under Hevea brasiliensis (rubber tree). The record is from RNAcentral. Lineage: Eukaryota; Viridiplantae; Streptophyta; Magnoliopsida; Malpighiales; Euphorbiaceae.
UAGUUUAGUUUAGUUUAGUUUAGUAUGAGUAAGAAACAGCAGAGAUUCAAACACCAAAUCACCCGAAAAUCAACUCAGCAAAGAAGAAAAGAAAAAGAAUGAAAGAUAGAAGCAGAUAUAUGCAAGAAGAGAAUAAGAAGAAUGAAAGAAAGAUAAAAGGGGCACUCCACUUUUAAUAGAGUGCCUGGGCUUGAUGAGGCCUUGCGCCAAGUGCGCCUUUUGCAUAUCGCCUGCCUAGAGGGUUUCUAGGCGCAAACCCUUGGGCCUCCUGUGCCUGGAGCCUCAGACACGCCUUUAAUAAUUAUGAAUGCUCCUUGUCAUCAAAGUUCCAUAUAAGUGAUUGGCAUUAGAAUUAUCUUUGGCAUGCCUUUCGUACAUAUGUUGUCAUCGUACUCCAUCUCAUGAUUUUUCUUUAACAGAUUAAAAUCUUCAUUAAUAUGAAAUUAUUAAAUAUUUUUGAGGCCAAGCACAGUAGAACCUACCAUAGUGCUGUGCCAAAACAGGCUUGCAAAAAGCAUGGGGAGGUUACAUCCCAAGAACAUGGCCAGGUGGGUAAUGCAAACCAUACCAUCGGUUGUAUCCUUCAUACAGUUCCUUUACAGCCUGUGCAUU